AGUACUAAUUGGAGGACCGAACCCAAUACUGUUGCAAAAGUAUGGGAUGAGCUGUGGAUCGGAGUGAAAGGCUAAUCAAGCACGGAGAUAGCUGGUUCUCCCCGAAAACUAUUUAGGUAGUGCCUCGUGUAUAACUCAUUGGGGUAAAGCACUGUUUCGACAAUGGGGGUUUUACGACCUUACUGACUCGAUGCAAACUCAGAAUACGAUGAAGUUCGAUCACGGGAGACACACUGCGGGUGCUAAGGUCCGCAGUGGAAAGGGAAACAGCCCAGACCGCCAACUAAGGUCCCAAAGUCAUAGCUAAGUGGGAAACGAAGUGGGAAGGCCCAGACAGCCAGGAGGUUGGCUUAGAAGCAGCCACCCUUUAAAGAAAGCGUAAUAGCUCACUGGUCGAGUCGGCCUGCACGUAAGAUUUAACGGGGCUAAGCUAUGCACUGAAGUUGCGGAAUAUAUUUAGUAUAUUGGUAGGGGAGCGUUCUGUAAGCCGAUGAAGGUGAAUUGAGAAGUUUGCUGGAGGUAUCAGAAGUGCGAAUGCUGACAUGAGUAACGUAAAAUAAGUGAGAUUCUUAUUGGCCGAAAACCCAAGGGUUCCUACGCAAUGUUAAUCAACGUAGGGUAAGCCGGCCCCUAAGGCGUAGCUGAAGAGUGAAGUCGAUGGGAAACAGGUUAAUAUUCCUGUGCUGCUUAUAUGAACGAAGGAGGGACGGAGAAGGUUAGGUAGGCCUGGCGAAUGGUUGUCCAGGUGAAAGUAUGUAGGUAGGAAUGCUAGGCAAAUCCGGUGUUCUGUUGAUCUGAGAUACGAGACGAAGUUAAACUUGUUUGACGAAGCUAUUGAUACCAUGCUUCCAGGAAAAGCUUCUAAGUAUAUUGUAUAAGUGACCGUACUGUAAACCGACACUGGUGGGUAGGUAGAGAAUACUAAGGCUAUGAGAUAACUCUGGUGAAGGAACUAGGCAAAAUGACACCGUAACUUUGGAAGAAGGUGUGCCCUUGAUGGUGAUGAGACUUGCUCUUUGAGCUGUUGGGGGUUGCAGAUACCAGGUGGCUGCGACUGUUUAUCAAAAACACAGCACUCUGCGAAAUCGUAAGAUGAAGUAUAGGGUGUGACGCCUGCCCGGUGCUGGAAGGUUAAUUGAAGGGGUUAGCGCAAGCGAAGCUCUGGAUCGAAGCCCCAGUAAACGGCGGCCGUAACUAUAACGGUCCUAAGGUAGCGAAAUUCCUUGUCGGGUAAGUUCCGACCUGCACGAAUGGCGUAACGAUGGCCACACUGUCUCCACCAGAGACUCAGUGAAAUUGAAAUCGCUGUGAAGAUGCAGUGUACCCGCGGUUAGACGGAAAGACCCCGUGAACCUUUACUAUAGCUUUGCACUGGACUUUGAAUAUUUAUGUGUAGGAUAGGUGGGAGACCAUGAAGCAGCUACGCCAGUAGUUGUGGAGUCGUCCUUGAAAUACCACCCUUGAAUAUUUGAAGUUCUAACUCAGGAGAGAUUCGAGGACAGUGUAUGGUGGGUAGUUUGACUGGGGCGGUCUCCUCCUAAAGAGUAACGGAGGAGUACGAAGGUGCACUCGGUACGGUCGGAAAUCGUGCCAAGAG
Molecule: ribosomal RNA, 1597 nt
Filed under: Francisella tularensis
Lineage: Bacteria; Pseudomonadati; Pseudomonadota; Gammaproteobacteria; Thiotrichales; Francisellaceae
Description: partial 23S ribosomal RNA
Rfam family: Bacterial large subunit ribosomal RNA
Source: RNAcentral